CGGCCGGGUGUGGUGGCGCACUCCUUUA
Molecule: non-coding RNA, 28 nt
Filed under: Mus musculus (house mouse)
Lineage: Eukaryota; Metazoa; Chordata; Mammalia; Rodentia; Muridae
Source: RNAcentral